Molecule: ribosomal RNA, 253 nt
Filed under: uncultured bacterium
Lineage: Bacteria
Description: partial 16S ribosomal RNA
Rfam family: Bacterial small subunit ribosomal RNA
Source: RNAcentral
UACGUAGGUGGCGAGCGUUAUCCGGAAUGAUUGGGUUUAAAGGGAGCGUAGGUGGAUUGUUAAGUCAGUUGUGAAAGUUUGCGGCUCAACCGUAAAAUUGCAGUUGAAACUGGCAGUCUUGAGUACAGUAGAGGUGGGCGGAAUUCGUGGUGUAGCGGUGAAAUGCUUAGAUAUCACGAAGAACUCCGAUUGCGAAGGCAGCUCACUGGACUGCAACUGACACUGAGGCUCGAAAGCGUGGGGAGCAAACAGG